GAUGAACGCUGUCUACAGGCUUAACACAUGCAAGUCGAGGGGAAACGACGGGGAAGCUUGCUUCCCCGGGCGUCGACCGGCGCACGGGUGAGUAACGCGUAUCCAACCUGCCUCUGACUGAGGGAUAACCCGUCGAAAGUCGGCCUAAUACCUCAUGGCAUCGUCUGCGGGCAUCCAACGACGAUUAAAGAUUUCAUCGGUCAGGGAUGGGGAUGCGUCUGAUUAGCUUGUUGGCGGGGUAACGGCCCACCAAGGCUACGAUCAGUAGGGGUUCUGAGAGGAAGGUCCCCCACAUUGGAACUGAGACACGGUCCACACUCCUACGGGAGGCAGCAGUGAGGAAUAUUGGUCAAUGGGCGGGAGCCUGAACCAGCCAAGUAGCGUGCAGGAUGACGGCCCUAUGGGUUGUAAACUGCUUUUAUGCGGGGAUAAAGUGAGGGACGUGUCCUUCAUUGCAGGUACCGCAUGAAUAAGGACCGGCUAAUUCCGUG
Molecule: ribosomal RNA, 491 nt
Filed under: uncultured bacterium
Lineage: Bacteria
Description: partial 16S ribosomal RNA
Rfam family: Bacterial small subunit ribosomal RNA
Source: RNAcentral